UUGUCACGCCCCGAACCCAACACUCGGGUCCGGUACGCGACCGGCCGCAUGAGCCUUAGAGCAGUGCCCUAAAGAUCAUGCAAGGCCUAUGUUUAACAAAAUUCCAAUAAAUCCACGAUUAAUUUAAUAAUUCAAAUAGACAAGUCCGACAUAUCCAAAUAAACAAAUUAGUUCAAUUACAAGAUCUUCAAAUGUUCAUCGACAUCAAAGAAGGACAAACAAACUAACUAGCUAAUGACUUUNNNNNNNNNNNNNNNNNNNNAGCAGAUGCUUAAGCUUGAUAAUUCAAUAAAAGAAUUAAAUAAUUCAAGAAAUGUGUAACUUGAAGUAAAAAUCAUUAUUGGUUUUUUAACUUAAAUUGUUUAGUCAUCCUGUCCCACCCAACAUUUUUUUGGAAAGAUGGUUUGUAUUGUAAAACAGGAAAAACUUAUUUUAAAUUAAUGAAAACUUUAAAGCAUAACUUCAAGCGUAUACAUUGAAUUAUCACUGGAGGAAAUUUUUACUUAAGAUCUAUCAGAAAGGCUUGGAAUUUUAAAGUCCGUGCUGAAAACCACAAUGUCAUUAUAAAGUUGGAGGUAUAAAUACUUUUAGUAUCUUCUAAGUAUUAAAAGUGGUUUCUGCCUUUUAUUUUUUUCAUUGGUAGCUGUAUUCUUAUUUGUUUUAUGAUGGAGAUAUAUCAAAAAUUAGAGUUGACAAUCAGAUCGCCUACAUUCCAAAUUGGCAUUUUGAACUUGCAAAGUUAUUUGGAAUUUAAUAAUGCGAUAAAUUGGCAUUUUUAACCUGCGUU
Molecule: long non-coding RNA, 787 nt
Filed under: Phoenix dactylifera (date palm)
Lineage: Eukaryota; Viridiplantae; Streptophyta; Magnoliopsida; Arecales; Arecaceae
Description: long non-coding RNA (PDAC_LNC003401)
Source: RNAcentral